CAGUGACGGUCUUCACUUGCAAAUUAAAACUCAUUUAUUAAGCCUGGACAUAGUGGCACAGACCUGUAAUCCCAGAACUUUGAGGGGCUGAGGCAGAAGCAUUGCUUGUGGCCAGGAGUUCGAGACCAGCCUGGGCAGCAUAACAAGACCCUGAGACCCUGUCUCUACAAUAAAAAUAAAAAACUGGCUGGACGCGGUGGCACAUGCGAAAAUAUUAGCAACUGGGGAGGCUGAGGUGGGAGGACCCCUUGAGCUCAAUUAGAGGAUACAGUUGGGCUCUGAUCACACCACUGCUCUCCACCGUGGGCGACAGGGCGAGACCCUGUCUCUAUUAAAAAACAAAAACAAAAACAAAAACAAAAUGACUUGUUACAUGCAGAACACAACCCCCUCUCAGAUCUGGAGAUUCAGUAGGGGAACACCAUAGGCGGAGCUGAGACGCCCUCUGAGAAACAGCUCUCCAGCCCCAGCACCAUGGUCAGCGCCCGCUGCCUGAGGGGACCCAGGGCCACCAGCGGAGGCCGCCCCGGCAGUGCUGGCAACACUCGGGAGCGCUGCGCAGAGGAAGAAAGCUGCCUCGCCACACCCCAGAGGGUCAAGUCAGGCCACCACUAGCUGCCAGUGAUCUGGAAUGGAUCUGAUCCACUGCAGAAACCGGCAGGGGAGCAUGGGAAGAUGUAAGUUUUGUCUUCCAAGGAGCCCAUUCAUUUGGGGUAUCGUGAAAAGUGACUUAAGAGGAUGUGGGGGAUGGGAAUCCCUCUUCCUGCUCCACUCCCGCCCCAAGCAAAUAAACACGACCACUUUACGCAGCUUAACAGAAUGACUUUAAUGCUUCUUCAAGUUUUCCAUUUUCUUCCACAGGGUAAUAAGUUAAUGUAUGUACACGUUAUAAACACUGUGUCAGUUUACGAUGGCAGCAACGGAAGUUGUUACAAAGAAAGUGACUGCGGGGUGGAGUGUGUCUAGAAGCAUUUGCGGUGGACGAUGGAAGGGCCGGCCUCGUCGUACUCCUGCUUGGUGAUCCACAUCUGCUGGAAGAGCGUCUCCGGGCAGCGGAAGCGCUCGUUGCCGAUGGUGAUGACCUGCCCGUCUGGCAGCUCGUAGCUCUUUUCCAGGGAGGAGGAGGAGGCGCUUCUCCUUGAUGUCGCGCACGAUCUCGCGCUCAGCUGCGGAGGGCAGAAGCAGGAGAGGAGCCCUCACUCAGGGGCCGCCGCCGGCCCUCCCGCCCGGGGUGCAGGGGCGCCGCGCACCUGUGGUCACGAAGGAGUAGCCACGCUCAGUGAGGAUCUUCAUCAGGUAGUCGGUGAGAUCGCGGCCCGCCAGGUCCAGGCGCAUGAUGGCGUGCGGCAGCGCGUAGCCCUCAUAAAUGGGCACGUUGUGGGUGACGCCGUCGCCGGAGGACAGCACGGCCUGGAUGGCCACGUACAUGGCGGGCACGUUGAAGGUCUCAAACAUGAUCUGGGUCAUCUUCUCGCGGUUGGCCUUGGGAUUGAGGGGGGCCUCGGUGAGCAGGGUGUGGUGCCAGAUCUUCUCCAUGUCAUCCCAGUUGGUGAUGAUGCCGUGCUCGAUAGGGUACUUCAGGGUCAGGAUACCUCUCUUGCUCUGAGCCUCGUCGCCCACGUAGGAAUCUUUCUGACCCAUACCGACCAUGACGCCCUGGCGGUGGUCUCGUCUUCGUCGCACAUUGUGUCUAGUUUCUG
This 1700-nucleotide long non-coding RNA is filed under the name Homo sapiens (human). Its description in RNAcentral is "HSALNT0298874". The record is from RNAcentral. Lineage: Eukaryota; Metazoa; Chordata; Mammalia; Primates; Hominidae.